This is a long non-coding RNA of Rhodamnia argentea, 237 nucleotides long. RefSeq lists it as uncharacterized. NCBI's taxonomy places the organism in Eukaryota, Viridiplantae, Streptophyta, Magnoliopsida, Myrtales, Myrtaceae. The transcript is spliced from 3 exons. The record is from RefSeq and is a predicted model, not a curated record.
AAAUUAGAAGGAAGAGAAAUACUCAGCAAGCACCACCAUUGUCCCAAAACAAACUUAAAUGCAAACACACGAAGAACAACGAAAGCCCAAAAAGAAGAAGCUAUCAUCCCUCCCGAAACCACAUCACUACUCAGAAAAAGAAGAACCAAACACCCAGCAAGGGAAAACAAGAAAUUACGCACUCGGCGCGUGACUGCCUCCUUCCCCCCUUUUCUCCUUCGUUACUGCCUCCCUCCC